This 785-nucleotide long non-coding RNA is filed under the name Homo sapiens (human). RNAcentral's name for it is "HSALNT0314170". The record is from RNAcentral. Lineage: Eukaryota; Metazoa; Chordata; Mammalia; Primates; Hominidae.
UCUGAGGAUGCGGGAAGCGUUGCUUACCUUAGGUAUGGCUCUGGACAGUAUGGUGAACUGAGCAAGUGUUUUGCACCUUUUCACUUCUGCGAGCCUCUUCCCGGUCUUCAGGAGCAUCUAUCUGGCUCCCAUCACUCUCCUGCUACCUGCACUCAACUUGUAUCUGUGAUUAACCCCUGCUGUUACCAAUAAUGGCUUAAUGGUUCGUAUCUGCCAAGGAGAAUUGUAUUUCAACAGUUUCAGAAUAUAUAGCCUUCUAGAGCCUAAGGAAUUGAUUGCUUACCUUGCUCUCUACCCUUGGGAGACAGAUCUCUUUCCUUAAACUUGUACAUAUCUGAGCAGAAAAGAAGCCUGUCUCUUAAAAGGAUUGGACAGAAACAUUUUCGCUAGAGUCUCGUUCUUUGGACGUGAUCCAAUCACUACUUCUCUACCUAUGAGACUGUUGAUCAUCUCUUUCUCAGAUGAGUUCUGCCAUUAAACUGAAUAUCCAAAUGUGCAUAAAUCCUGAAUCCUAGGCUAUUCUGGCCAAUCAGCAAGAGAAAGAUUUGAGAUUUAAGAAAUUUGCAGCAACAAGAAUUGACUGAUGGCAACUACUAUUUCUUAAUAAGAGUAUUUUACUUAUGUUCUCUGGUUCUUGAGAUUCAAAAUGUAUUUUGAGAAGCAGCAACAGGAGAACAUCUGGAGAGAGAAGGAGAUUCUCUCUUAGAAGGGAAAUCAAAGAGGAAACAAACAAAUGGAAGAACAUUCCAUGCUCAUGGAUAGGAAGAAUCAAUAUUGUGAAAAUG